UUAAAUUGAAGAGUUUGAUCAUGGCUCAGAUUGAACGCUGGCGGCAGGCCUAACACAUGCAAGUCGAACGGUAACAGGAAACAGCUUGCUGUUUCGCUGACGAGUGGCGGACGGGUGAGUAAUGUCUGGGAAACUGCCUGAUGGAGGGGGAUAACUACUGGAAACGGUAGCUAAUACCGCAUAAUGUCGCAAGACCAAAGAGGGGGACCUUCGGGCCUCUUGCCAUCGGAUGUGCCCAGAUGGGAUUAGCUAGUAGGUGGGGUAACGGCUCACCUAGGCGACGAUCCCUAGCUGGUCUGAGAGGAUGACCAGCCACACUGGAACUGAGACACGGUCCAGACUCCUACGGGAGGCAGCAGUGGGGAAUAUUGCACAAUGGGCGCAAGCCUGAUGCAGCCAUGCCGCGUGUAUGAAGAAGGCCUUCGGGUUGUAAAGUACUUUCAGCGGGGAGGAAGGGAGUAAAGUUAAUACCUUUGCUCAUUGACGUUACCCGCAGAAGAAGCACCGGCUAACUCCGUGCCAGCAGCCGCGGUAAUACGGAGGGUGCAAGCGUUAAUCGGAAUUACUGGGCGUAAAGCGCACGCAGGCGGUUUGUUAAGUCAGAUGUGAAAUCCCCGGGCUCAACCUGGGAACUGCAUCUGAUACUGGCAAGCUUGAGUCUCGUAGAGGGGGGUAGAAUUCCAGGUGUAGCGGUGAAAUGCGUAGAGAUCUGGAGGAAUACCGGUGGCGAAGGCGGCCCCCUGGACGAAGACUGACGCUCAGGUGCGAAAGCGUGGGGAGCAAACAGGAUUAGAUACCCUGGUAGUCCACGCCGUAAACGAUGUCGACUUGGAGGUUGUGCCCUUGAGGCGUGGCUUCCGGAGCUAACGCGUUAAGUCGACCGCCUGGGGAGUACGGCCGCAAGGUUAAAACUCAAAUGAAUUGACGGGGGCCCGCACAAGCGGUGGAGCAUGUGGUUUAAUUCGAUGCAACGCGAAGAACCUUACCUGGUCUUGACAUCCACGGAAGUUUUCAGAGAUGAGAAUGUGCCUUCGGGAACCGUGAGACAGGUGCUGCAUGGCUGUCGUCAGCUCGUGUUGUGAAAUGUUGGGUUAAGUCCCGCAACGAGCGCAACCCUUAUCCUUUGUUGCCAGCGGUCCGGCCGGGAACUCAAAGGAGACUGCCAGUGAUAAACUGGAGGAAGGUGGGGAUGACGUCAAGUCAUCAUGGCCCUUACGACCAGGGCUACACACGUGCUACAAUGGCGCAUACAAAGAGAAGCGACCUCGCGAGAGCAAGCGGACCUCAUAAAGUGCGUCGUAGUCCGGAUUGGAGUCUGCAACUCGACUCCAUGAAGUCGGAAUCGCUAGUAAUCGUGGAUCAGAAUGCCACGGUGAAUACGUUCCCGGGCCUUGUACACACCGCCCGUCACACCAUGGGAGUGGGUUGCAAAAGAAGUAGGUAGCUUAACCUUCGGGAGGGCGCUUACCACUUUGUGAUUCAUGACUGGGGUGAAGUCGUAACAAGGUAACCGUAGGGGAACCUGCGGUUGGAUCACCUCCUUACCUUAAAGAAGC
Molecule: ribosomal RNA, 1556 nt
Filed under: Shigella sonnei
Lineage: Bacteria; Pseudomonadati; Pseudomonadota; Gammaproteobacteria; Enterobacterales; Enterobacteriaceae
Description: bacterial SSU rRNA
Rfam family: Bacterial small subunit ribosomal RNA
Source: RNAcentral